Molecule: transfer RNA, 67 nt
Filed under: Iridoteuthis sp. GS-2021
Lineage: Eukaryota; Metazoa; Mollusca; Cephalopoda; Sepiida; Sepiolidae
Description: tRNA-Trp
Source: RNAcentral
AAGAUUUUAAGUUAAAUAAACUGAAGACUUUCAAGGUCUUUUAUAAAUAUAUGUAGUUUAAGUCUUG